GGAACGCCUUUCUUCAUGAUCCUCAUUGCGAGAGUCAACAUUUUGACCUCCCUGAGGGCCUAGCCUUUUAUGAACAUUUCUCUGUGGGCGUGGCUAUCAAGUCAUGGCCCAGCCUUUUGUGUGCGUUGGUCCUUGAACUCAAUCCAUAUGGGAAACUUUGUUCGCUCUGAGUGUGGCUUGUAGAUGCUUGUGACAUGUUGGCAAGCUGAUGUCCCUCCCCCUGUUUGCUUAGUCCUACUCGACCUGCUUG
This 250-nucleotide long non-coding RNA is filed under the name Prunus persica (peach). RNAcentral's name for it is "long non-coding RNA (PPER_LNC003601)". Lineage: Eukaryota; Viridiplantae; Streptophyta; Magnoliopsida; Rosales; Rosaceae. The record is from RNAcentral.